RNAcentral lists this ribosomal RNA (253 nucleotides) under uncultured bacterium. RNAcentral describes it as "partial 16S ribosomal RNA". It matches the Rfam family "Bacterial small subunit ribosomal RNA", at positions 524 to 776 of the family's 1533-position model. The record is from RNAcentral.
UACAGAGGGUGCGAGCGUUGUCCGGAAUCACUGGGCGUAAAGGGCGCGUAGGCGGCUCGGUGAAGGUUGCGGUGAAAGCCCGGGGCUCAACCCCGGGUCGGCCGUGGCAACUGCUGAGCUGGAGCACUGUAGAGGCGGGUGGAAUUCCGGGUGUAGCGGUGGAAUGCGUAGAGAUCCGGAAGACACCAGUGGCGAAGGCGGCCCGCUGGGCAGUGGCUGACGCUGAGGCGCGACAGCGUGGGGAGCAAAAGGG